UUCGGGGUGGAUUAGUGGCGAACGGGUGAGUAACACGUGGGCAAUCUGCCCUGCACUCUGGGACAAGCCCUGGAAACGGGGUCUAAUACCGGAUAACACCCCCUCUCGCAUGGGAGGGGGUUGAAAGCUCCGGCGGUGCAGGAUGAGCCCGCGGCCUAUCAGCUUGUUGGUGAGGUAGAAGCUCACCAAGGCGACGACGGGUAGCCGGCCUGAGAGGGCGACCGGCCACACUGGGACUGAGACACGGCCCAGACUCCUACGGGAGGCAGCAGUGGGGAAUAUUGCACAAUGGGCGAAAGCCUGAUGCAGCGACGCCGCGUGAGGGAUGACGGCCUUCGGGUUGUAAACCUCUUUCAGCAGGGAAGAAGCGAAAGUGACGGUACCUGCAGAAGAAGCGCCGGCUAACUACGUGCCAGCAGCCGCGGUAAUACGUAGGGCGCAAGCGUUGUCCGGAAUUAUUGGGCGUAAAGAGCUCGUAGGCGGCUUGUCACGUCGGUUGUGAAAGCCCGGGGCUUAACCCCGGGUCUGCAGUCGAUACGGGCAGGCUAGAGUGUGGUAGGGGAGAUCGGAAUUCCUGGUGUAGCGGUGAAAUGCGCAGAUAUCAGGAGGAACACCGGUGGCGAAGGCGGAUCUCUGGGCCAUUACUGACGCUGAGGAGCGAAAGCGUGGGGAGCGAACAGGAUUAGAUACCCUGGUAGUCCACGCCGUAAACGGUGGGAACUAGGUGUUGGCGACAUUCCACGUCGUCGGUGCCGCAGCUAACGCAUUAAGUUCCCCGCCUGGGGAGUACGGCCGCAAGGCUAAAACUCAAAGGAAUUGACGGGGGCCC
RNAcentral lists this ribosomal RNA (829 nucleotides) under Streptomyces sp. MZ0353C. RNAcentral's name for it is "bacterial SSU rRNA". It matches the Rfam family "Bacterial small subunit ribosomal RNA", at positions 81 to 922 of the family's 1533-position model. Lineage: Bacteria; Bacillati; Actinomycetota; Actinomycetes; Kitasatosporales; Streptomycetaceae. The record is from RNAcentral.